This 908-nucleotide ribosomal RNA is filed under the name uncultured Gemella sp. RNAcentral describes it as "bacterial SSU rRNA". The stretch from base 1 to 524 matches the Rfam family "Bacterial small subunit ribosomal RNA", at positions 29 to 544 of the family's 1533-position model. Lineage: Bacteria; Bacillati; Bacillota; Bacilli; Caryophanales; Gemellaceae. The record is from RNAcentral.
AUGAACGCUGGCUACGGGCUUAACACAUGCAAGUCGAGGGGAAACGACGGGGAAGCUUGCUUCCCCGGGCGUCGACCGGCGCACGGGUGAGUAACGCGUAUCCACCUGCCUCUGACUGAGGGAUAACCCGUCGAAAGUCGGCCUAAUACCUCAUGGCAUCGUCUGCGGGCAUCCAACGACUAUUAAAGAUUUCAUCGGUCAGGGAUGGGGAUGCGUCUGAUUAGCUUGUUGGCGGGGUAACGGCCCACCAAGGCUACGAUCAGUAGGGGUUCUGAGAGGAAGGUCCCCCACAUUGGAACUGUGACACUGUCCAAACUCCUACGGGAGGCAGCAUUGAGGAAUAUUGGUCAAUGGGCGAGAGCCUGAACCAGCCAAGUUGCGUGCAGGAUGACGGCCCGAUGGUUUGUAUACUGCUUUUAUGCGGGGAUAAAGUGAGGGACGUGUCCUUUGUUGCAGGUUCCGCAUGAGUAAUGACCUGCUAAUUUCUGCCUGCAGCCGCUGGAAUACGGAAGGCUGGGCUUUAUCCGGAUUUUAUGGGGUUAAAGGGAGCGUAGGCUGUGGAUUAUGCGUUGUUGAGAAAUGCUGUUGCUCUACGUGUGGACUGCUGCGCGUUCUGUUUAUGUGAGUGCUGUGCAACGAGUGGUGUUGUUGCGUUGUUGUCGUUGUAAUGGUUAGAAUGUCGUUGAUUGCCGUGUGCGUCGCUCUGGUGGGUGUGUGAUUGAUUGUGAGCUGUGAUUGCUGGGUUUUAGAGUAUGUGUACCUGUGCUCCUGUGGCUGAGCCAAUGUAUGUGGCCCUGCUGGCCCGCCUGCUCGUGUAAAGAUAAAAAAAUGUUAGUGUGUGUGUCUGCGCUGUGGUGUAUUAGUCUUGUGUCCCCUGCCCGUCCAUGUUGCUUCGCUGUGCCUGCUGC